CCAAUAGCGUAUAUUAAAGUUGUUGCAGUUAAAAAGCUCGUAGUUGAAUUUCGGGAUCAAUAUAUCGGUCGUGCCAUCGGUACGUACUGGUAUGAUUGGUUUCUCCUUUCUGACGAACCAUGAUGUCAUUAAUUUGGUGUUAUGGGAAGUUAGGACUGUUACUUUGAAAAAAUUAGAGUGUUUAAAGCAGGCUUUAGCUU
This 200-nucleotide ribosomal RNA is filed under the name uncultured Glomus. Its description in RNAcentral is "partial small subunit ribosomal RNA". It matches the Rfam family "Eukaryotic small subunit ribosomal RNA", at positions 591 to 796 of the family's 1831-position model. Lineage: Eukaryota; Fungi; Glomeromycota; Glomeromycetes; Glomerales; Glomeraceae. The record is from RNAcentral.